CAGUAGCCGCGGGAACACGUAGGGUGCAAGCGUUAAUCGGAAUUACUGGGCGUAAAGCGUGCGCAGGCGGUUAUAUAAGACAGAUGUGAAAUCCCCGGGCUCAACCUGGGAACUGCAUUUGUGACUGUAUAGCUAGAGUACGGCAGAGGGGGAUGGAAUUCCGCGUGUAGCAGUGAAAUGCGUAGAUAUGCGGAGGAACACCGAUGGCGAAGGCAAUCCCCUGGGCCUGUACUGACGCUCAUGCACGAAAGCGUGGGGAGCAAACAGGAUUAGAUACCCGAGUAGUCCCUGUCUCUUAUAA
This 301-nucleotide ribosomal RNA is filed under the name uncultured bacterium. RNAcentral describes it as "partial 16S ribosomal RNA". It matches the Rfam family "Bacterial small subunit ribosomal RNA", at positions 509 to 809 of the family's 1533-position model. The record is from RNAcentral.